This 403-nucleotide ribosomal RNA is filed under the name uncultured bacterium. RNAcentral's name for it is "bacterial SSU rRNA". It matches the Rfam family "Bacterial small subunit ribosomal RNA", at positions 355 to 774 of the family's 1533-position model. The record is from RNAcentral.
UAGGGAAUAUUGCAAAAUGGGCGAAAGCCCGAUGCAGCAACGCCGCGUGGGCGAUGAAGGCCUUCGGGUCGUAAAGCCCUUUUUGAGGGGAUGAGGAAGGACAGUACCCUCAGAAUAAGCCUCGGCUAACUACGUGCCAGCAGCCGCGGUAAAACGUAGGAGGCGAGCGUUAUCCGGAUUUACUGGGCGUAAAGCGCGUGCAGGCGGAUUGGAGAGUUGGAUGUGAAAGCUCCCGGCUUAACUGGGAGAGGUCGUUCAAUACUUCCAGGCUUGAGUGCAGUAGAGGGAAGUGGAAUUCCGGGUGUAGUGGUGAAAUGCGUAGAUAUCCGGAGGAACACCAGUGGCGAAAGCGGCUUCCUGAACUGUAACUGACGCUCAGACGCGAAAGCUAGGGUAGCAAACG